This 497-nucleotide ribosomal RNA is filed under the name uncultured bacterium. RNAcentral's name for it is "partial 16S ribosomal RNA". It matches the Rfam family "Bacterial small subunit ribosomal RNA", at positions 28 to 507 of the family's 1533-position model. The record is from RNAcentral.
GAUGAACGCUGGCGGCGUGCCUAAUACAUGCAAGUCGAGCGAACAGAUGAGGAGCUUGCUCCUCUGACGUUAGCGGCGGACGGGUGAGUAACACGUGGAUAACCUACCUAUAAGACUGGGAUAACUUCGGGAAACCGGAGCUAAUACCGGAUAAUAUAUUGAACCGCAUGGUUCAAUAGUGAAAGACGGUUUUGCUGUCACUUAUAGAUGGAUCCGCGCCGCAUUAGCUAGUUGGUAAGGUAACGGCUUACCAAGGCAACGAUGCGUAGCCGACCUGAGAGGGUGAUCGGCCACACUGGAACUGAGACACGGUCCAGACUCCUACGGGAGGCAGCAGUAGGGAAUCUUCCGCAAUGGGCGAAAGCCUGACGGAGCAACGCCGCGUGAGUGAUGAAGGUCUUCGGAUCGUAAAGCUCUGUUAUUGGGGAAGAACAAAUGUGUAAGUAACUAUGCACGUCUUGACGGUACCUAAUCAGAAGGCCACGGCUAACUACGUG